AGUGAACGCUGGCGGUAGGCCUAACACAUGCAAGUCGAACGGCAGCACAGUAAGAGCUUGCUCUUACGGGUGGCGAGUGGCGGACGGGUGAGGAAUACAUCGGAAUCUACUUUUUCGUGGGGGAUAACGUAGGGAAACUUACGCUAAUACCGCAUACGACCUACGGGUGAAAGCAGGGGAUCUUCGGACCUUGCGCGUUUGAAUGAGCCGAUGUCGGAUUAGCUAGUUGGCGGGGUAAAGUCCCACCAAGGCGACGAUCCGUAGCUGGUCUGAGAGGAUGAUCAGCCACACUGGAACUGAGACACGGUCCAGACUACUACGGGGGGCAGCAGUGGGGAAUAUUGGACAAUGGGCGCAAGCAUGAUCCAGCAAUACCGCGUGGGUGAAGAAGGCCUUCGGGUUGUAAAGCCCUUUUGUUGGGAAAGAAAAGCAGCAGGUUAAUACCCCGCUGUUCUGACGGUACCCAAAGAAUAAGCACCGGCUAACUUCGUG
This 492-nucleotide ribosomal RNA is filed under the name uncultured bacterium. Its description in RNAcentral is "partial 16S ribosomal RNA". It matches the Rfam family "Bacterial small subunit ribosomal RNA", at positions 29 to 507 of the family's 1533-position model. The record is from RNAcentral.